This is a long non-coding RNA of Triplophysa dalaica, 6168 nucleotides long. RefSeq lists it as uncharacterized. The record is from RefSeq and is a predicted model, not a curated record. Lineage: Eukaryota; Metazoa; Chordata; Actinopteri; Cypriniformes; Nemacheilidae. The transcript is spliced from 12 exons.
AGUUUGGCUCGCUUACAUCUUUACUUUAAUACGAUUGAGAAUCUGUGUUCGGUGUCUGAUCUGUGUAAGAUCUCACAUCAGUUCACGGUUUCUGAUCUGUAGAAGAGCUCAGAGCAGCGCGCGACUUCACAACAGCGCGAGAUGAAAUGAUUCAGCACAAGUUCAGAAGUUUCAGGCCUGUUAGCGUCGAUGGACAACAAACAUAACCUGUUGAAGUUUGGCAUUUAAUUUUAAAACCUAAUAUUGCUUGAGUGAAAGAAAAAGUUUCUUCUAAAAAACAAUAUUUAAGAUGAAAAUCUAAGUUUGCAGGUUCAAUGUACACACGUCCACCCCUGAGAGGAGCUCCGUCACAGAAAGUGUCUUGAAGCAAAGUCAUCGCUUCAACCUCCAUGAAAUGAUUCUGCACAAGUUCAGAAGUUUCAGGCCCGCUAGCGUCGAUGGACAACAAACAUAACCUGUUAAAGUUUGCCAUUUUAAUUUUAAAACCUAAUAUUGCUUGAGUGAAAGAAAAAGUGUCUUCUAAAAAACAAUAUUUAAGAUGAAAAUCUAAGUUUGCAGGUUCAAUGUACACACGUCCACCCCUGAGAGGAGCUCCGUCACAAAAAGUGUCUUGAAGCAAAGUCAUCACUUCAACCGCUAUGAAAUGAUUCCGCACAAGUUCAGAAGUUUCAGGCCUGUUAGCGUCGAUGGACAACAAAUAUAACCUGUUAAAGUUUGGCAUUUUAAUUUUAAAAUCUAAUAUUGCUUGAGUGAAAGAAAAAGUUUCUUCUAAAAAACAAUAUUUAAGAUGAAAAUCUAAGUUUGCAGGUUCAAUGUACACACGUCCACCCCUGAGUGGAGCUCCGUCACAGAAAGUGUCUUGAAGCAAAGUCAUCACUUCAACCGCUGUGAGUUUGUUAAAACAACAUUAUAUCAGCGAGACAAAGUGAGAUUUGUAAUAUUUAAACAAAUGUUUGAGGGUUCGGAAUAUAACCUGUGAAAGUUUGGCAUUUUAAUUUUAAAACCUACUAUUGCUUGAGUGAAAGAAAAAGUUUCUUCUAAAAAACAAUAUUUAAGAUGAAAAUCUAAGUUUGCAGGUUCAAUGUACACACGUCCACCCCUGAGAGGAGCUCCGUCACAAAAAUUUCUUGAAGCAAAGUCAUCACUUCAACUGCUAUGAAAUGAUUCCGCACAAGUUCAGAAGUUUCAGGCCUGUUAGCGUCGAUGAACAACAAACAUAACCUGUUAAAGUUUGGCAUUUUAAUUUUAAAACCUAAUAUUGCUUGAGUGAAAGAAAAAGUUUCUUCUAAAAAACAAUAUUUAAGAUGAAAAUCUAAGUUUGCAGGUUCAAUGUACACACGUCCACCCCUGAGAGGAGCUCCGUCACAAAAAGUGUCUUGAAGCAAAGUCAUCACUUCAACCGCUAUAAAAUGAUUCUGCACAUGUUCAGAAGUUUCAGGCCCGCUAGCGUCGAUGAACAACAAAUAUAACCUGUUAAAGUUUGGCAUUUUAAUUUUAAAACCUAAUAUUGCUUGAGUGAAAGAAAAAGUUUCUUCUAAAAAAAAAUAUUUAAGAUGAAAAUCUAAGUUUGCAGGUUCAAUGUACACACGUCCACCCCUGAGAGGAGCUCCGUUACAGAAAGUGUCUUGAAGCAAAGUCAUCGCUUCAACCGCUAUGAAAUGAUUCCGCACAAGUUCAGAAGUUUCAGGCCCGCUAGCGUCGAUGGACAACAAAUAUAACCUGUUAAAGUUUGGCAUUUUAAUUUUAAAACCUAAUAUUGCUUGAGUGAAAGAAAAAGUUUAUUCUAAAAAACAAUAUUUAAGAUGAAAAUCUAAGUUUGCAGGUUCAAUGUACACACGUCCACCCCUGAGUGGAGCUCCGUCACAAAAAGUGUCUUGAAGCAAUGUCAUCACUUCAACCGCUGUGAGUUUGUUAAAACAACAUUAAAUCAGCGAGACAAAGUGAGAUUUGUAAUAUUUAAACAAAUGUUUGAGGGUUCGGAAUGUAACCUGUGAAAGUUUGGCAUUUUAAUUUUAAAACCUACUAUUGCUUGAAUGACAGAAAAAGUUUCUUCUAAAAAAACAAUAUUUAAGAUGAAAAUCUUAGUUUGCAGGUUCAAUGUACACACGUCCACCCCUGAGUGGAGCUCCGUCACAGAAAGUGUCUUGAAGCAAAGUCAUCACUUCAACCGCUAUGAAAUGAUUCCGCACAAGUUCAGAAGUUUCAGGCCCGCUAGCGUCGAUGGACAACAAAUAUAACCUGUUAAAGUUUGGCAUUUUAAUUUUAAAACCUAAUAUUGCUUGAGUGAAAGGAAAAGUUUAUUCUAAAAAACAAUAUUUAAGAUGAAAAUCUAAGUUUGCAGGUUCAAUGUACACACGUCCACCCCUGAGAGGAGCUCCGUCACAAAAAGUGUCUUGAAGCAAAGUCAUCACUUCCACCAUCAUGAAAAUCUUAGUUUGCAGGUUCAAUGUACACACGUCCACCCCUGAGUGGAGCUCCGUCACAGAAAGUGUCUUGAAGCAAUGUCAUCACUUCAACCGCUUUUGCAGGUUCAAUGUACACACGUCCACCCCUGAGUGGAGCUCCGUCACAAAAAGUGUCUUGAAGCAAAGUCAUCGCUUCAACCGCUAUGAAAUGAUUCUGCACAAGUUCAGAAGUUUCAGGCCCGCUAGCGUCGAUGGACAACAAAGAUAACCUGUGAAAGUUUGGCAUUUUAAUUUUAAAACCUAAUAUUGCUUGAAUGACAGAAAAAGUUUCUUCUAAAAAACAAUAUUUAAGAUGAAAAUCUGAGUUUGCAGGUUCAAUGUACACACGUCCACCCCUGAGUGGAGCUCCGUCACAAAAAGUGUCUUGAAGCAAAAUCAUCGCUUCAACCAUCAGCGAAGAGGAUUUGCCACUACAUAGCGAAGAGGAUUUGCCACUACAAAGCGAAGAGGAUUUGCCACUACAUAGCGAAGAGGAUUUGCCACUACAGAGCGAAGAGGAUUUGCCACUACAUAGCGAAGAGGAUUUGCCACUACAUAGCGAAGAGGAUUUGCCACUACAAAGCGAAGAGGAUUUGCCACUACAUAGCGAAGAGGAUUUGCCACUACAUAGCGAAGAGGAUUUGCCACUACAUAGCGAAGGGGAUUUGAUUUGCCCCUUCAGAGCGAAGGGGAUUUGAUUUGCCCCUUCAAAGCGAAGGGGAUUUGAUUUGCCCCUUCAGAGCGAAGGGGAUUUGAUUUGCCCCUUCAGAGCGAAGGGGAUUUGAUUUGCCCCUUCAGAGCGAAGGGGAUUUGAUUUGCCCCUUCAGAGCGAAGGGGAUUUGAUUUGCCCCUUCAGAGCGAAGGGGAUUUGAUUUUGCCCCUUCAGAGCGAAGGGGAUUUGAUUUGCCCCUUCAGAGCGAAGGGGAUUUGAUUUUGCCCCUUCAGAGCGAAGGGGAUUUGAUUUGCCCCUUCAGAGAAUGUCAUGAUUAGAUUGUGUAUCUGAUUGUGUGUAACUAACAGGGAUCUGUACCUCAGAUUGUUCAUCAUUGUGGGUUGAAUGUCAUGUUUAUAUUGUGUAACUGAUUGUGUGUAACUAACAGGGAUCUGUACCUCAGAUUGUUCAUCAUUGUGGGUUGAAUGUCAUGUUUAUAUUGUGUAACUGAUUGUGUGUAACUAACAGGGAUCUGUACCUCAGAUUGUUCAUCAUUGUGGGUUGAAUGUCAUGAUUAUAUUGUGUAUCUGAUUGUGUGUAACUAAGAGGGAUCUGUACUUCACAUUGUUCAUCUGUGUCCUUUUGUUGUGGGUUGAAUGUCAUGUUUAUAUUGUGUAACUGAUUGUGUGUAACUAACAGGGAUCUGUACCUCAGAUUGUUCAUCAUUGUGGGUUGAAUGUCAUGUUUAUAUUGUGCAACUGAUUGUGUGUAACUAACAGGGAUCUGUACCUCAGAUUGUUCAUCAUUGUGGGUUGAAUGUCAUGUUUAUAUUGUGUAACUGAUUGUGUGUAACUAACAGGGAUCUGUACCUCAGAUUGUUCAUCAUUGUGGGUUGAAUGUCAUGUUUAUAUUGUGUAACUGAUUGUGUGUAACUAACAGGGAUCUGUACCUCAGAUUGUUCAUCAUUGUGGGUUGAAUGUCAUGAUUAUAUUGUGUAUCUUAUUGUGUGUAACUAAGAGGGAUCUGUACUUCACAUUGUUCAUCUGUGUCCUUUUGUUGUGGGUUGAAUGUCAUGUUUAUAUUGUGUAACUGAUUGUGUGUAACUAACAGGGAUCUGUACCUCAGAUUGUUCAUCAUUUUGGGUUGAAUGUCAUGUUUAUAUUGUGUAACUGAUUGUGUGUAACUAACAGGGAUCUGUACCUCAGAUUGUUCAUCAUUGUGGGUUGAAUGUCAUGUUCAUAUUGUGUAUCUGAUUGUGUGUAACUAACAGGGAUCUGUACCUCAGAUUGUUCAUCAUUGUGGGUUGAAUGUCAUGUUUAUAUUGUGUAUCUGAUUGUGUGUAACUAAGAGGGAUCUGUACUUCACAUUGUUCAUCUGUGUCCUUUUGUUGUGGGUUGAAUGUCAUGUUUAUAUUGUGUAACUGAUUGUGUGUAACUAACAGGAAUCUGUACUUCACAUUGUUCAUCAGUGUUCUCAUGUUGUGCGUUGAAUGUCAUGAUUAGAUUCUGUAACUGAUUGUGUGUAACUAACAGGGAUCUGUACCUCAGAUUGUUCAUCAUUGUGGGUUGAGUGUCAUGAUUAUAUUGUGUAUCUGAUUGUGCGUAACUAACAGGGAUCUGUACUUCACAUUGUUCAUCUGUGUUCUUUUGUUGUGCGUUGAAUGUCAUGAUUAUAUUGUGUAUCUGAUUGUGUGUAACUAACAGGGAUCUGUACCUCAGAUUGUUCAUCAUUGUGGGUUGAGUGUCAUGAUUAUAUUGUGUAUCUGAUUGUGCGUAACUAACAGGGAUCUGUACUUCACAUUGUUCAUCUGUGUUCUUUUGUUGUGCGUUGAAUGUCAUGAUUAUAUUGUGUAUCUGAUUGUGCGUAACUAACAGGGAUCUGUACUUCACAUUGUUCAUCUGUGUUCUUUUUUUGUGCAUUGAAUGUCAUGAUUAUAUUGUGUAUCUGAUUGUGCGUAACUAACAGGGAUCUGUACUUCACAUUGUUCAUCUGUGUUCUUUUGUUGUGUGUUGAAUGUCAUGAUUAUAUUGUGUAACUGAUUGUGUGUAACUAACAGGGAUCUGUACCUCAGAUUGUUCAUCAUUGUGGGUUGAAUGUCAUGAUUAUAUUGUGUAUCUGAUUGUGCGUAACUAACAGGGAUCUGUACUUCACAUUGUUCAUCUGUGUUCUUUUGUUGUGCGUUGAAUGUCAUGAUUAUAUUGUAUAUCUGAUUGUGCGUAACUAACAGGGAUCUGUACCUCAGAUUGUUCAUCAUUGUGGGUUGAAUGUCAUGAUUAUAUUGUGUAACUGAUUGUGCGUAACUAACAGGGAUCUGUACUUCACAUUGUUCAUCUGUGUUCUUUUGUUGUGCGUUGAAUGUCAUGAUUAUAUUGUAUAUCUGAUUGUGCGUAACUAACAGGGAUCUGUACCUCAGAUUGUUCAUCAUUUUGGGUUGAAUGUCAUGUUUAUAUUGUGUAACUGAUUGUGUGUAACUAACAGGGAUCUGUACCUCAGAUUGUUCAUCAUUGUGGGUUGAAUGUCAUGAUUAUAUUGUUUAACUGAUUGUGUGUAACUAACAGGGAUCUGUACCUCAGAUCUUUUGUUGUGCGUUGAAUGUCAUGAUUCGAUUGUGUAACUGAUUGUGUACAGCUGUAAACCUUCACACAUUGGAUUUAAACAAAAAUUAACCCAUCUUCACUUUGGAUGCAAUAGGCCAUUAUUUGACAUUUCAAAUAUCAAAGGAAAAUGUGUUAAUCUAGUGAACACAAGUCUGUUUUAUCUUCUAAUAAACAUUAAUCAUUAUCCUGAUUUAUUACUCUGCAUGUCACAGUGGUGUAACUUUCUUCAGAAAAAAUUCUAAUACUUGGAUUGUACCAGUAGGAGGCACACUUGAGCAAUUAAUGUGACUUACUUUCUGCGACUCCCUUGCUCACAAAAAAGUCUUCUGCCUGAUUUAUAUAAAAAAUGUGAACAGGGAAAACCCACAGGCACAACUGACAAAACCUUAUCUAAUCCUUGCAUGAUUGUUGCAAUAUAUCUGGUAAACAAAUCUCUCGGUCUUUAACAUGCUGACAACCUUUUGACACAUGACUC